UCCUCAUCAGUGCCAAGUUCCUGGGCUGGAGGAAGCUGAAGAGGGUGAUCAAGAGGAGGAAGAGCUGGCUGAUUGGAGAGACUUUGCUGAAGCAGGACAGGAGCAGGGUGGAAGACUACGUGUGCUUCAGCCUGCCCUACCUGCGGGACUCUCAGGCCAGCGUGAGAGCGGAGGCCAUCAGGUUCAUGGGGACUGCUGCGCAGCGCCUGGGGAGGAAUCCACCGAAAGAGACGCUGGAGGUUCUGUGGAAUGUCGUCAAGCACUUUGAUAAUGACCCGGAUGCCUCAGUCAGGUCCCAAGCAGGUCAGACCUUGCACACCCUGCAAACUGUUCGGGAGCUGCAGAGACAAAGAUGGUCCUUCCAAAGGCUGUGCUGCUGGCGCUAAUGAAAUGGGUGAAUGACAAUCUUGCUGCCACCAUCUUCCUGACGGAGGUCACCAGGGUGUCUGCAGAGUUUUUGACCUCUCCCACAGAGACCUAGAGCAGCUCGAGUCAUGCGGCUGAGCGCACACCCAAGCCAGAUACCCUGUUGGAGGCAAUGGAUUCAUCACCAGCUGCCCCCCAGAGGCUACAGGAGGUUCCAGCCUUGCUGGGCAGGGUCCGUGUCACCGUGUGGGCCCAGGCGGCUUGGGACAGCCGGGCAGG
This is a long non-coding RNA of Calypte anna (Anna's hummingbird), 645 nucleotides long. RefSeq lists it as uncharacterized. NCBI's taxonomy places the organism in Eukaryota, Metazoa, Chordata, Aves, Apodiformes, Trochilidae. The record is from RefSeq and is a predicted model, not a curated record. The transcript is spliced from 5 exons.